ACAAGCGGUGGAGCACGUGGUUUAAUUCGAUGCAAACCGAAGAACCUUACCUGGGUUUGACAUGUACGUGUUACUGAUCUGAGAGGAGAGGGACCCAUGCUUCGGUAUGGGAGCGUACACAGGUGCUGCAUGGCUGUCGUCAGCUCGUGUCGUGAGAUGUUGGGUUAAGUCCCGCAACGAGCGCAACCCUUGCCUUUAGUUGCCAGCAGUUCGGCUGGGCACUCUAAAGGGACUGCCGGUGUUAAACCGGAGGAAGGUGGGGAUGACGUCAAGUCCUCAUGGCCUUUAUGACCAGGGCUACACACGUACUACAAUGGCCGAUACAAAGGGCAGCGACACUGCGAGGUGAAGCCAAUCCCGUAAAAUCGGUCUCAGUCCGGAUUGGAGUCUGCAACUCGACUCCAUGAAGUUGGAAUCGCUAGUAAUCGUGGAUCAGCAUGCCACGGUGAAUACGUUCCCGGGCCUU
Molecule: ribosomal RNA, 466 nt
Filed under: uncultured Desulfobulbus sp.
Lineage: Bacteria; Pseudomonadati; Thermodesulfobacteriota; Desulfobulbia; Desulfobulbales; Desulfobulbaceae
Description: bacterial SSU rRNA
Rfam family: Bacterial small subunit ribosomal RNA
Source: RNAcentral